RNAcentral lists this ribosomal RNA (657 nucleotides) under Triticum aestivum (bread wheat). Its description in RNAcentral is "partial small subunit ribosomal RNA". Lineage: Eukaryota; Viridiplantae; Streptophyta; Magnoliopsida; Poales; Poaceae. The record is from RNAcentral.
AUGUUUUUCUUCGCUGUUACGAGGUUGCACACGAACCGUACGAAAUGUCACAAGCCGAUGUUUCAAAAUAAAGAAUGUGAUGCCAGUGUUGGUUCUAUUGCUAAAGCGUUUGUCCCCACUGGCAUGCUCAACUCAGACAGUGCUGACGUUGUUUUAUAUUCUCUACGUCAGAAGUACCGAGACACUGACAAGUUGAUAGUUCCCAGAUGGACCAAGAUCCGUGAUGGAAAUAUUGAUUCCAAUGUGCUAAAUUGGUUCACGAGAUCGUGUGCUGAUGGUUUUGACCAAUCGAGUGAUGCAGUUAGAUUCUUAAGGACUAUGACAGAUAACAUAAAGAAGCUUUGGAGGGAGUCUAGCGUAGACAGGGCGAAACCGUUCUCGCCGGCCCAUAUUGAUGGUUUCUCUUGCGAGUUUGUGCGGGUGCCGCAGCAGAAAAACACGCAUGAUUGUGGAUUCUUUAUGCUACAAAGCUGCAAGACCUAUCAUUGCCGGGAGGAUGGUGUGAUUGAAGUGAGUGGCUGGAUCUUAAUGAGCAUGACUACAGGAUCUUUGGCAGCCAGUUCUCGGAGCUCGAGCGCGUAUCUAUUGAUCUUAGCCAGGGGCGUUCUCCAGAAAAGACAAGGUCUGGUGUUAUUAAGGGGCGGUUGGGAGCUCUGA